GGAUGUGAGGGCGAUCUGGCUGCAACAUCUGUCACCCCAUUGAUUGCCAGGGUUGAUUCGGCUAUCUGGCCGGCUAGGCUGGUGUCCCCUUCCUCCCUCACCGCUCCAUGUGCGUCACUCCCGAAGCUGCGCGCUCGGUCGAAAAGGACGACCAUCCCCGCUAGAGGAGGACCGGUCUUCGGUCAAGGGUAUACGAGUAGCUGCGCUCCCCUGCUAGAACCUCCAAACAAGCUCUCAAACAAAGAAAAUCUAAAAAACCCACACACACACACAACACAAACCACAGAAAAUAUUAUGAAAAAAAAUUAUGGACUUUUAAAUAUUCAAAUUUAUUUU
Ochotona princeps (American pika) is the source of this 336-nucleotide unclassified non-coding RNA. Its record names the gene 7SK. It matches the Rfam family "7SK RNA". Rfam says of the family: 7SK was discovered as an abundant small nuclear RNA in the mid-70s but a possible function has only recently been suggested. Two independent studies have found that 7SK RNA binds the CDK9/cyclin T complex (known as elongation factor P-TEFb). NCBI's taxonomy places the organism in Eukaryota, Metazoa, Chordata, Mammalia, Lagomorpha, Ochotonidae. The record is from Ensembl.